ACCUGCUGGACGGGGAGUCAGAGGAUGACACUGUUCACUUUCAACACUCACUGCCAGACUCGUGUGGAAUGCCUCAUGUCAGUGCUGCCUCGACCUCCAGUGAGUCUCUGGAAGGAGUGGGGGAGUCGCGACACGCCUGGCCUUGGGACGUUCGGCUCAGCAAGGACACUAACAACAUCUGCUAUGGGGCCAUCAUCCAGCCUGCCUGGGUCCUCACUGCUGCACACUGCCUUCUAGGCCUGUGAGUGUCACAUAUAUCCUAUACUUUUUCAUCAAUGAACAUUUUAAUAAAAAUAAUAAUAACAGUGCACAUACACACUCAUAUCCUAUAGUAAUAAAUAUACAUUUAGUGAAAAAUAAAUGGUGUAUUUGAACAGUUUGAAAACUAUUUGAAAGCUCUUAUGCUAUACUUUUCCAUAGAUGAAGAUGUUAUUCAUAAAAACAGAUCAUAAUAACACCAGCCUCGAUUUUUUUAUUUGUUUCUUUUCUAACUAACACAGGGAGGACCAAUCAUUAAGGUCACUGUUGGUGGAGACGGGAGGCCCGAAGAACCAGAGGCGUGGUGUGAGGAGGCUUGUGCUGCACCCUCAGUAUGACCCCUCCUCCCAGGACUAUGAUGUGGCCCUGCUACAGCUGGACUCCCCGCUGCUCAUCACUGAGCAUGCCUUGUCUGUCUGUCUGCCCUGCUCGGGACCGGAAGUCCCACAAUCCCAGGUCUGCAUGCUUUCAUCGUGGGAGAGUCAGACAGGUGGACCAUGGAACAGCACUGUUGAGCCGCUAGAGGUGCCACUUGUGAGUCAUGCGGACUGUGAACGUUAUAACACUGGUAGACUGACCGCUAGAAUGCUGUGUGCUGGGCCACCACAGCAUCGUGGACAGGACACGUGCACGGGUCCAGGGGAUUCUGGGGGAGCACUGGUGUGUCAGAGAAAGGACUCUGGUUACUUUGUCCUGGGAGUGAGCAGCCGAAAGGAAGGCUGUGGGAAGUUCCAGAGGCCAGGAGUCUACACCUCAGUCCCCAUGAUAACAGACUGGAUUCACGAAAAACUCCACGAAGAUUCAGCUGACUCCUCUAGAACCCUGCCAUACCAGAAGCAGCAGGAGGAGCUGGCCUUCAGCAUAGAUUAUGAUGAUAAUAACUAUGGAGCGGAGUCAUCUGGAGAAUCCUAUUAGCCUUGACCCACCUAGCUUGAGGCUGGAGGACCAUGUGGUAUUCUUACGGAGUCAAGCUGCUUUUUGUUGCUUCCAUAUACCGCUCAGAAAUUAAACAGACACAGCGGUUCUAACAGAGACAUGAUUUGAAAAAGGGAACAUCCAAUCAGCACAAAUUCCAUGGAUUUUUGGGAAGGGCUAUGGAACAAUUGAAUUGUCAUACUGUCUGUCUGUCUGUCGCACGCACGCACGCACGCACAGUACACACAGUACACACACAAACACAAGCAGUUUUUCAAUUAAUUAUGCUAAGAGAAACAGUUACACAAAUUAUGUUUUCCUUAGGAGGAAGAAGACAUGUCUCGUCCCAAAGAAUUUAUGCUACCCACGUAUUUCUAAAUAAAUACUUGACACAUACAGUUCCUACCUGUUCCACCAGCGAUCAUUCCCAUACAGUAUGUUUAAUUGCGGACCUUAGCCUCAGACUACUUAUUAGGUUGAAUGGCAAAUUUGCCUUUAAAUUGGGAGAAAUUGGUUUCAAUAAGGUUUGAUGCAUUGUAUUACAUUGCCCUCUAUUGAUCAAACAAUGAUAAUGCCAUGAUGAAGCACAGCAUGGUACACACCUUACUAGAAUGACUAGAUCACAGUACACACACACACACACAAAUAUUUUAUUUGUAAACCAGUGUUCAACCACUGAGUGAUCUGACACUGGAGUGAUAAUAUUAAAUUAUAGCGUCAUCAACAUGCCUGGAGAUAUUUUAAUUAAUUAGACAGUGUGCACACAUUCACACACGCACACACACAAACCUUUUCCAGUGCUAAACCGGUGCUCAACCCCUGAGUGAUCUGACACUGAAGUGAUUUUGGAUCAUUCACCUCCUCAUCUGGUUCACUCAGCUGUGCUUUGUCAUGGCUCCGUCAUAGUGAGUUCCUCUCUCCUAUUGGUCCGUCAGCCCUCCAUUAACUCCCCUUCCUCUAGGUAGCCAUGGUGCAAAGGUCUGACUCCAGGGCCUGGCUCCGUAUGUUUGACACCCCUGAAACGAAAUCAUCUUUGGUUACAGCUCAACAGAAGUUGUUUUCAAGGCUAUGAUGCUGAAGUCGACUGAAAGAAAACAUCCAAAGUCACCUAGGGGUGGCAUGUAGCCUAGCAGUUAAGAGCAUUGGUCCAGUACCUGAAAGGUCAUUGGUUUGAAUCCCUGCGACAGAUGAUACAAUAUCUACUUGACGGAAAGGACAAAUGCAUUCAGACAGAUGAACCCUGAGGGGUAUCCUACAACGCAGGAUCAAGGAGUUAGCCAGCUAACUUGCCUAAACAUUCUGAUAUAACUUUUAUAUUUUGUAGAAAUAUAAGAUUGAAAUGGGCAUUGUCGAAUUGAUUUAAUAUCAAUGUUUUGCUUUUUUUAUUAACCAUAAAAUCAAUAGUUAUUUCUGGUUACUGCUAACUGCUAACUAAUGGAUCAUACCUUGCAGUAUACCCCUCUGAUCUCCACCCCAGAUGUAAAGUGCUUCCGCCUUACAUCCAGGUUCAUGUAGAGACCAUGUCUAGAUGUUACUAUAUUACUAAAGGUUACAGGAAGUGUUGAUUGCUGAAAGUACACAAACUCUAUCAAUGUACCAAAAACAAACGUACUGGACUGGAUACAGCUGGCAUGCAGGUCCUCAGGAGGAAAUGAAAACUUAAUUCUUCUCCAGAUAAUGUGGCACCACCUGCUGGUAGGAGCAAGGUCUGUUGGAUUCAAUGAAAUCAACCCACAGAGGGAUAGUUUUAUUGGGCCAAAAGUCAUCUUCUAAAACUAUAAACAAAGAUGAAGAAAUCUAGUCAGAGCCUGUGCCUGUUCAACAGUUGUCUGACCAAUGUUUCAACUUCUAAACAAUGAAACAACAAUCAAAACCUACAUUUUUUUCAUAAAUACACUGAACAAAAAUAUAUACGAAACAUGUGAAGUGUUGGUCCCAUGUUUCAUGAGCAGAAAUAAAAGAUUCUAGAAAUGUUCCAUAUGCACAAAAAGCUUAUUUUUCUUAAAUGUUGCACACACAUGUAUUUACAUCCCUAUUAUUGAGUUUUUCCCCCUUGCCAAAGAUAAUUCAUCCACUUGACAGGUGUGGCAUAUCAAGAAGCUGAUUAAACAGCAUGAUCAUUAUAAAGGUGCGCCUUGUGCUGGUGACAAUAAGGCCACUCUAAAAUGUGCAGUUUUGUCACACAACACAAUGCCACAGAUAUAUCAAGUAUUUAAGGAGCUAGCAAUCGGUAUGAUGACUGCAAGAAUGUCUACCAGAGCUGUUGUCAGAGAAUUUAAUGUUAAUUUCUCUACCAUAAGCCGCCUUCAACGUCAUUUUAGAGAAUUUGGCAGUACGUCCAACCGGCCUCACAACCGCAGACCACGUGUAACCAUGCCAGCCCUUCCACAUCUGUCUUCUUCACCUGCGGGAUAGUCUGAGACCAGCCACCCAGACAGCUGAUGAAACUGAGAGUGCCCAAUGGUGGUGGUGGGGUUAUGGUAUGGGCAGGCAUAAGCUACAGACAAUGAACACAAAUGCAUUUUAUUGAUGGCAAUUUGAAUGCACA
Molecule: long non-coding RNA, 3721 nt
Organism: Oncorhynchus kisutch (coho salmon)
Lineage: Eukaryota; Metazoa; Chordata; Actinopteri; Salmoniformes; Salmonidae
Source: Ensembl